GGGGGCCUACGGGAGGCAGCAGUAGGGAAUCUUUCGCACUGGACGAAAGUCUGACGGAGCAACGCCGCGUGAGUGAAGAAGGUUUUCGGAUCGUAAAACUCUGUUGUUAGGGAAGAACAAGUCAGGUAGUAACUGACCUGACCUUGACGGUACCUAACCAGAAGAGCCAUGGCUAACUACGUGCCAGCAGCCGCGGUAAUU
This 201-nucleotide ribosomal RNA is filed under the name uncultured Oceanobacillus sp. RNAcentral describes it as "partial 16S ribosomal RNA". It matches the Rfam family "Bacterial small subunit ribosomal RNA", at positions 333 to 525 of the family's 1533-position model. The record is from RNAcentral. Lineage: Bacteria; Bacillati; Bacillota; Bacilli; Caryophanales; Bacillaceae.